Molecule: ribosomal RNA, 253 nt
Filed under: uncultured archaeon
Lineage: Archaea
Description: partial 16S ribosomal RNA
Rfam family: Archaeal small subunit ribosomal RNA
Source: RNAcentral
AUUAGAUACCCGGGUAGUCCUAGGCGUAAAUGAUGCGAGUUAAGUNUGGGGGCAUCUACGAGAUGGCCCUGUGCUGUAGGGUAGCCGUUAAACUCGCUGCCUGGGAGUACGGUCGCAAGGCUGAAACUUAAAGGAAUUGGCGGGGAGCACCACAAGAGGUGGAGGCUGCGGUUCAAUUGGACUCAACGCCGGAAAACUCAUCGGGAGCGACAGCAGUAUGAUUGCCAGGUUGAUGACCUUGCUUGACAAGCUG